This 406-nucleotide long non-coding RNA is filed under the name Neogobius melanostomus (round goby). Its description in RNAcentral is "lncRNA (ENSNMLG00000020431.1)". The record is from RNAcentral. Lineage: Eukaryota; Metazoa; Chordata; Actinopteri; Gobiiformes; Gobiidae.
AACUUGACAAAAUGAAGAGAGCGUGUACAAAAUGUAUAUAGGAAAGAGAAAGUGUGCGUGAUGCUGCGAGCAGGUUGGAAAACAGGUUGUAGUAGCCGCUAAACUGUGUGAAGGCCAGAGUUCAUUGACCCGCAUGACCGCAGUUCAAACGGAGAUAUAAACAAAAGCCAUGCCAACAGACGACUUCCUGCAACACGAGGAGACGAGAUAUGCCAUUUUUCUGUGGGGUCUUUUGUGAACCCCCUGCCUCCUUGUGUGCUGUAACAGAGGACUGAUUUAUAGUUUUAUGACUGACGCCCUUCAUGACGCGACCAUCUGUAUUUACUGAGGCUUGGGACAGGCACAAAGGUGUGUUGGCAACCUUUCAUUGAAGAAUAACUUCUACCCCCUUUCAAACAAACAAAUG